Molecule: ribosomal RNA, 444 nt
Filed under: uncultured Anaplasma sp.
Lineage: Bacteria; Pseudomonadati; Pseudomonadota; Alphaproteobacteria; Rickettsiales; Anaplasmataceae
Description: bacterial SSU rRNA
Rfam family: Bacterial small subunit ribosomal RNA
Source: RNAcentral
GGCUCAGAACGAACGCUGGCGGCAAGCUUAACACAUGCAAGUCGAACGGACCGUAUACGCAGCUUGCUGCGUGUAUGGUUAGUGGCAGACGGGUGAGUAAUGCAUAGGAAUCUACCUAGUAGUAUGGGAUAGCCACUAGAAAUGGUGGGUAAUACUGUAUAAUCCCUGCGGGGGAAAGAUUUAUCGCUAUUAGAUGAGCCUAUGUCAGAUUAGCUAGUUGGUGGGGUAAUGGCCUACCAAGGCGGUGAUCUGUAGCUGGUCUGAGAGGAUGAUCAGCCACACUGGAACUGAGACACGGUCCAGACUCCUACGGGAGGCAGCAGUGGGGAAUAUUGGACAAUGGGCGCAAGCCUGAUCCAGCUAUGCCGCGUGAGUGAGGAAGGCCUUAGGGUUGUAAAACUCUUUCAGUAGGGAAGAUAAUGACGGUACCUACAGAAGAAGUCG